This 493-nucleotide ribosomal RNA is filed under the name uncultured bacterium. RNAcentral's name for it is "bacterial SSU rRNA". It matches the Rfam family "Bacterial small subunit ribosomal RNA", at positions 8 to 507 of the family's 1533-position model. The record is from RNAcentral.
AGAGUUUGAUCCUGGCUCAGGAUGAACGCUGGCGGCAGGCUUAACACAUGCAAGUCGAGCGGAGACUUCGGUCUUAGCGGCGAACGGGUGAGUAAUACCUAGGAAUCUGCCUAUUAGUGGGGGAUAACGAAUCGAAAGGUUCGCUAAUACCGCAUACGUCCUACGGGAGAAAGGGGGGGGAUCUUCGGACCUCUCGCUAAUAGAUGAGCCUAGGCCGGAUUAGCUAGUUGGUAGGGUAAAGGCCUACCAAGGCGACGAUCUGUAGCUGGUCUGAGAGGAUGGCCAGCCACACUGGAACUGAGACACGGUCCAGACUCCUACGGGAGGCAGCAGUGGGGAAUAUUGGACAAUGGGGGCAACCCUGAUCCAGCCAUGCCGCGUGUGUGAAGAAGGCCUUCGGGUUGUAAAGCACUUUAAGCGAGGAGGAAGGUUUUUAGUUUAAUACACUAAAGAAUUGACGUUACUCGCAGAAUAAGCACCGGCUAACUCUGUG